This 1170-nucleotide ribosomal RNA is filed under the name uncultured bacterium. RNAcentral's name for it is "bacterial SSU rRNA". It matches the Rfam family "Bacterial small subunit ribosomal RNA", at positions 119 to 1266 of the family's 1533-position model. The record is from RNAcentral.
GGGGUCCCGGCGAAAGUGGGGGAACCUGGGGAACUCAGGCUAAUACCGCAUACGUCCUACGGGAGAAAGCAGGGGAUCUUCGGACCUUGCGCUAUCGGAUGAGCCCAUGUCGGAUUAGCUUGUUGGUGAGGUAAUGGCUCACCAAGGCGACGAUCCGUAGCUGGUCUGAGAGGAUGAUCAGCCACACUGGGACUGAGACACGGCCCAGACUCCUACGGGAGGCAGCAGUGGGGAAUAUUGCACAAUGGGCGCAAGCCUGAUGCAGCCAUGCCGCGUGUGUGAAGAAGGCCUUCGGGUUGUAAAGCACUUUCAGUCAGGAGGAAAGGUUAGUAGUUAAUACCUGCUAGCUGCGACGUUACUGACAGAAGAAGCACCGGCUAACUCCGUGCCAGCAGCCGCGGUAAUACGGAGGGUGCGAGCGUUAAUCGGAAUUACUGGGCGUAAAGCGUACGCAGGCGGUUUGUUAAGCGAGAUGUGAAAGCCCCGGGCUCAACCUGGGAACUGCAUUUCGAACUGGCAAACUAGAGUGUGAUAGAGGGUGGUAGAAUUUCAGGUGUAGCGGUGAAAUGCGUAGAGAUCUGAAGGAAUACCGAUGGCGAAGGCAGCCACCUGGGUCAACACUGACGCUCAUGUACGAAAGCGUGGGGGAGCAAACGGGAUUAGAUACCCCGGUAGUCCACGCCGUAAACGAUGUCUACUAGAAGCUCGGAGCCUCGGUUCCGUUUUUCAAAGCUAACGCAUUAAGUAGACCGCCUGGGGAGUACGGCCGCAAGGGUUAAAACUCAAAUGAAUUGACGGGGGCCCGCACAAGCGGUGGAGCAUGUGGUUUAAUUCGAUGCACGCGAAGAACCCUUACCUACACUUGACAUACAGAGAACUUACCAGAGAUGGUUUGGUGCCUUCGGGAACCUCUGAUACAGGUGCUGCAUGGGCUGUCGUCAAGCUCGUGUUUGGUGAGAUUGUUGGGUUAGGUCCCCGCACGAAGCCGCAACCCCUAAUCCCUUAGUUGCUAGCAGUAAUUGCCUUGACAACCUCCUAAGGAGACUGGCCGUGGAAUAAACCGGAGGAAGGUGGGGAACCGACUGUCAGUUCAUCAUUGGCCUUAGCCGUGUAGCCUUAACACACGUGCUCAAUUGCCUAUACGACUGUCCUGCGAACUCUCGCCGUAGA